UUACAGCCAUAACGCGUUGAAAGACCAGUUCUCAUACGAUCAUUGAAGUUAAGCAAUGUUGAGCUUGAUCGGUGCCUAGAUGGGUGACCGCUUGGGAAUACCACGUGCUGUA
Non-coding RNA from Acanthosepion pharaonis, 112 nucleotides. The record is from the annotation of a GenBank genome assembly. NCBI's taxonomy places the organism in Eukaryota, Metazoa, Mollusca, Cephalopoda, Sepiida, Sepiidae.